Molecule: ribosomal RNA, 824 nt
Filed under: Nectria pseudotrichia
Lineage: Eukaryota; Fungi; Ascomycota; Sordariomycetes; Hypocreales; Nectriaceae
Description: partial large subunit ribosomal RNA
Rfam family: Eukaryotic large subunit ribosomal RNA
Source: RNAcentral
UGCCCUAGUAACGGCGAGUGAAGCGGCAACAGCUCAAAUUUGAAAUCUGGCCCUCGUGGUCCGAGUUGUAAUUUGUAGAGGAUGCUUUUGGUUAGGUGCCUUCCGAGUUCCCUGGAACGGGACGCCAUAGAGGGUGAGAGCCCCGUCUGGUUGGACACCGAGCCUCUGUAAAGCUCCUUCGACGAGUCGAGUAGUUUGGGAAUGCUGCUCUAAAUGGGAGGUAUAUGUCUUCUAAAGCUAAAUAUUGGCCAGAGACCGAUAGCGCACAAGUAGAGUGAUCGAAAGAUGAAAAGCACUUUGAAAAGAGGGUUAAAAAGUACGUGAAAUUGUUGAAAGGGAAGCGCUUGUGACCAGACUUGGGCCCGGUCAAUCAUCCAGGGUUCUCCCUGGUGCACUUGGCCGGCCCAGGCCAGCAUCAGUUUGUCGCGGGGGAUAAAGACGUUGGGAAUGUGGCUCCUCCGGGAGUGUUAUAGCCCUUCGUGUAAUACCCUGCUUCGGACUGAGGUUCGCGCAUCUGCAAGGAUGCUGGCGUAAUGGUCAUCAGCGACCCGUCUUGAAACACGGACCAAGGAGUCGUCUUCGUAUGCGAGUGUUCGGGUGUCAAACCCCUACGCGUAAUGAAAGUGAACGCAGGUGAGAGCUUCGGCGCAUCAUCGACCGAUCCUGAUGUUCUCGGAUGGAUUUGAGUAAGAGCAUACGGGGCCGGACCCGAAAGAAGGUGAACUAUGCCUGUAUAGGGUGAAGCCAGAGGAAACUCUGGUGGAGGCUCGCAGCGGUUCUGACGUGCAAAUCGAUCGUCAAAUAUGGGCAUGGGGGCGAAAGAC